Paenibacillus sp. oral taxon 786 is the source of this 86-nucleotide regulatory RNA element. It matches the Rfam family "c-di-GMP-I riboswitch aptamer". Rfam says of the family: GEMM was predicted in a large-scale screen for bacterial structured RNA regulatory elements. NCBI's taxonomy places the organism in Bacteria, Bacillati, Bacillota, Bacilli, Caryophanales, Paenibacillaceae. The record is from Rfam.
AAGGAAAAAUGGCAAACCCGCUCGAAAGACGGGGACGCAAAGCCACGGGUCUGCGGCCGUAAGGCUAUGAUCGCCGGGUUACCCUA